Molecule: non-coding RNA, 1287 nt
Organism: Girardinichthys multiradiatus
Lineage: Eukaryota; Metazoa; Chordata; Actinopteri; Cyprinodontiformes; Goodeidae
Source: the annotation of a RefSeq genome assembly
ACAGAAAGCAGAAACACUGAACAACAACUCUGCAGUGCAUGAAAAGUUUUAACACUAAGCCAACCCCUGGGGGAGCACUAACACCAUCUAUGUGUCACAGCAAACACAUUUAGAUAGACACAUCUCUGAUGAUCUGAGGGGUCAGGAAGGUUCACACUGGAGAAAUAACUUUGACAUGUUUAUAAGCUCAAAAAUCUUUUAGUUCUUUGUAGAACAUUCAAAAGAUUUGAAAAUAGAUUUUUUUAAUUUAAUCUAGUCAUGUUUUUAAUGGCUAGAUUAGAUCUAGAUCUUUAUGGCUAAUCUUUCUCAAAAUACACAGAUUUUGCUUUCAAAAUGUUUUGAGCUAAAAAUGUGCAUACAAGAACACAAGUGUAGUACUACAGUUGUAGUAAAGCAGACAAUUCAUUUAAACCUUCUUCAGUAUUUCUCAGAGUUUACCUCAAAGAUCUGCAUUAGAUCCUGACAUUGGUAUGAAGACUGAAACUCCUAUUCCUUUCAAGAUUGAGAAUGCACAGCUAUUUGAAACCUGCAUAUUAUUUUAGCAAUAAGAAAAAAAAUCUUCAUUAUUUAAUGAGACAGAAAUGAAAUCACUGCAUUGUGUGAUUUUUCAGAAUAUACAGACAGACAGUCAUAAUAACAGAAACAUUUAGUGGACAGAUGGAAAAAAAGAGUUUCAGCAUUUAAGAUGAGGAGGAUUUUUAAAGUCCUUCUUGGUAUUAAAAUAAAAAUAAAACAUUAGCUCAGAUAUGAUUCUUGCAUGUGGUUCAUGGAGGUAAAAAACAGAUUGAUAAUACAUAAGAAAGGCAUUUUUAAUCAUGAGUUUCUGGUGUGGAGUGUUUGGUAUUAUGCAAAUCAGAAGAGUCAGGUUUAAAAGGCUUGAUCUGAUGCUCUCAGCUGUAGAAGAAGAGAAACUCCCAUCAGAUCAUCUUCACCACCAACAUGUUUUCUGUAGCUCUGUUGCUGCUGUUGGCUGCUGGAUCCUGUGUGAAGUGUGAACAGCUGACACAGCCAGCCUCUGAGACUGUUCAGCCAGGUCAACGUCUGACCAUCAGAUGUCAGGUCUCUUAUGAUCUGAGCAGCUACUGGACAGCUUGGAUCAGACAGCCUGCUGGGAAAGGACUGGAGUGGAUUGGGAUGAAAUAUACUGGAGACUCACGCUACAAAGAUUCCCUGAAGAACAAGUUCAGUAUUGACUUAGACACUUCCAGUAAAACAGUGACUCUGAAUGGACAGAAUAUGCAGCCUGAAGACUCUGCUGUUUAUUACUGUGCAAGAUACCCACAGUGA